This 445-nucleotide ribosomal RNA is filed under the name uncultured bacterium. Its description in RNAcentral is "partial 16S ribosomal RNA". It matches the Rfam family "Bacterial small subunit ribosomal RNA", at positions 354 to 796 of the family's 1533-position model. The record is from RNAcentral.
GUAAGGAAUAUUGGACAAUGGACGCAAGUCUGAUCCAGCCAUGCCGCGUGAAGGAUUAAGGUCCUCUGGAUUGUAAACUUCUUUUAUAAGGGACGAAAAAAGGCUUUUCUAAGUCGUCUGACGGUACCUUAUGAAUAAGCACCGGCUAACUCCGUGCCAGCAGCCGCGGUAAUACGGAGGGUGCAAGCGUUAUCCGGAAUCACUGGGUUUAAAGGGUGCGUAGGCGGGCAGGUAAGUCAGUGGUGAAAUCCUAGAGCUUAACUCUAGAACUGCCAUUGAUACUAUCUGUCUUGAAUAUUGUGGAGGUAAGCGGAAUAUGUCAUGUAGCGGUGAAAUGCUUAGAUAUGACAUAGAACACCUAUUGCGAAGGCAGCUUACUACGCAUAUAUUGACGCUGAGGCACGAAAGCGUGGGGAUCAAACAGGAUUAGAUACCCUGGUAGUCC